Molecule: ribosomal RNA, 163 nt
Filed under: Avena clauda
Lineage: Eukaryota; Viridiplantae; Streptophyta; Magnoliopsida; Poales; Poaceae
Description: 5.8S ribosomal RNA
Rfam family: 5.8S ribosomal RNA
About the family: 5.8S ribosomal RNA (5.8S rRNA) is a component of the large subunit of the eukaryotic ribosome.
Source: RNAcentral
ACACGACUCUCGGCAACGGAUAUCUCGGCUCUCGCAUCGAUGAARAACGUAGCGAAAUGCGAUACCUGGUGUGAAUUGCARAAUCCCGCGAACCAUCGAGUCUUUGAACGCAAGUUGCGCCCGAGGCCAUUCGGCCGAGGGCACGCCUGCCUGGGCGUCACMA